GUGAGGUUUAAUGUCUCUUCCUUGA
RNAcentral lists this transfer RNA (25 nucleotides) under Stenella attenuata (bridled dolphin). RNAcentral's name for it is "partial tRNA-Pro". Lineage: Eukaryota; Metazoa; Chordata; Mammalia; Artiodactyla; Delphinidae. The record is from RNAcentral.